This is a long non-coding RNA of Malus domestica (apple), 1323 nucleotides long. RefSeq lists it as uncharacterized. The record is from RefSeq and is a predicted model, not a curated record. Lineage: Eukaryota; Viridiplantae; Streptophyta; Magnoliopsida; Rosales; Rosaceae.
AAUAUAUUUUGCGUCCCCCUCACUGAAACGAACGACCAUAACUUUGUCUUCCCUAUCGCAGCCCUUGGUGGUGGAUUCCGCUAUUGACCCCUUACACCUGUGGCUUUGAUCACUCCAAUGUUAGUUGAGGAGUACAUCACUGAUGUAUGUUGCAACUAAGGCUUAUGCAAAAACGCAUUGGACUUCACAUUUGUUUGUCCUAUAGGAUUGCUGCGUGCUUCAGAUUGGUUUUUGGAAAUCGGAGGAACCAAUGAAAUUGGCUUCUGGAUUUCGAGGGGAGGUUGAAUUCGGGAACUGGGUUUGAAGAAUUUGCAGCCUUCAUCUUCAGAGGAGGCGCCGAUCCCUUGAAAGCCAGAUUCUCCAUCUUCAUAGAGGUCCCUUAUUACUGCUGCAACAGGUGCAAGGGCGAUGCGUAUUUCUACAAGGUCUUCAAGGUGUACACGCAACUAUAGAAAUUUCAGCAAUAAACUCAUCCCCUGUCCUCUCUCUCACUCCUGAGCGCUUCAACGACAUUGUGGUCGGGAUUUGAACAGCUCUGUGUUUCCAGUAGCGGCGGUUGAGUUUUUCUCAGUAAAGACAAGGUAUUCCACAUAAUCGCCCUCAGCCCCCACCUUAAGGCAGCGACGUCGGCGAUUCCUCGGCCAUUUUCUUUGUCAUCUUCGCUUUCCUCGCCAUUUUAGCCGUGACGGUUCUUCCAACAUCAUCAACUAUAUCAAUUCAGCACCAAGUCCUAGAAGGUCAUGUUGGGGUAUAUUGGAGAGGAGGCGCUCUUCUGAUGACAAUUACAGAUCCAGAUUUUACUUAUGUAGAUACUAUCUCUUCAUUUCUCAGAUGGUUGACAAAUUGGAUGAUGAAAUCAUGGCAAUAGAACUUGGUCCACCUAAUUUUAAAGAGGCCUUAUAAGAAACUUGGUUGCAAGGCAAGUUGGAAACGCACAAAAGUUUGAUCGUGUCCUAUAGAAUUGCCAGAGAAGGUCAUCUCCAUUUCGUGCAAAAUCAGAUUUCUUUCUACACACAAAAACACUAGGUAAACACGCAUUAGCCUUAUUUUGUUCAUGAUAUAAUUCUAUUGUCUAUAAAUUUAUUUCAAUUUUUUUCCCUUGCCUGGGAUGCUUCCUUAAUGAUCAACAUAGCAUAGGACAACUUUUAGUGUUGCAGAAAACAACAUUUUCCAUUAAUGUUUUUGGACAGGAAGCAAUUUGUGUUUUUUCGUAUCCAAAGAACGUAAUAGUUUUAAUGGACAAAGUAGGUUUCUCUUUUGAUAUUUAAAUUUGUUUCAUUCAUGAUGAGGUUGUGUAUAAUUUGCAUUGGCAUUGGUAACUUA